GGUAUAUACAAACGGUGAAAUUGUUGUAUACAAUUUAAAAGCUUAAUAACUAAACCAAAAUUUUAUUUAGAAUUUGCAGAAGAUAAUAAAUGCAAAAGGAUUUGAAUAGUUUUAGAGAUAGUGUUUUAUUUUCAUUAUUUGGGCUUGGCCCAAACAAAACACUUCAUGCACACAGAAGUACAAUACACACGCUCUUUCCCUAAAAAUCAUGCAAGCACGAACUCAUCUCCCUUCCCUUUCCCUAUGAUCAAGUAUCCCUACUGCUCGAAGUGCGAAGCACUGCCACCGGCUGCUCAUGUCUCCUCGUCGUUCUCGGGAUACAAAGCACUUCAUGUUGUGUUCUUCCACCAUGGCCAUCGGACUAUAUUUUUUAAAACCGAACGGGCAACUGAACCGUUGCGUCUGUCACCGGUUGGACCGCCGGUUCAUCGAUUUGUUCGUGACAAAAAAAACAAGUUAUUAAAAAUAACCUUAGAUCAAAUGAGUACACAUAAUAUUGGAUGUAAUAUAAACAUAACCAGCCAGGUCACACGGGCUGAGACAUUUUAACUCACCUUCCCUUUAGUUGCCAAUUUGAAGGGAGGGAUCGAAUUAUGUUGUGUUUAUGGCCAAUUGAGCGGUCCAUGAGCGAUCAAUUUAAAAUACAUAGUGAUAACCUGGCUUCUAAUGUAAAUAAUAAUCCAAUUCUUUUGCAAUUGGAUACCCAAAUUUAGCAUACUGCACAUUCAUCUCUCUUAUCGUCAGUGUUUGAUUAUGCAAAAAUAGGUUCAGCAUGUAAAAUCAAGGCAGCUUCUCUGCACACAAUUUCUUGGGAAGAGACAACAAACCUUUGCAUCAUUCAAAUGUCACAGGUGACUUGUUUUAGUUUGGGAUCUUGAAAGAAUCAAACCAACAUACCUUUCCCGGCAACAGUCAGCAGUGGUAAGCAUGUGCCGCUGGAGCCCGACCAACUUCCCUUGAUCCCAUUUAUUGUCUCCUAUCCACGG
Molecule: ribosomal RNA, 986 nt
Filed under: Triticum aestivum (bread wheat)
Lineage: Eukaryota; Viridiplantae; Streptophyta; Magnoliopsida; Poales; Poaceae
Description: partial small subunit ribosomal RNA
Source: RNAcentral